AUCGAACGCUGGCGGCAGGCCUAACACAUGCAAGUCGAGCGGAUGAAGGGAGCUUGCUCCUGGAUUCAGCGGCGGACGGGUGAGUAAUGCCUAGGAAUCUGCCUGGUAGUGGGGGAUAACGUCCGGAAACGGGCGCUAAUACCGCAUACGUCCUGAGGGAGAAAGUGGGGGAUCUUCGGACCUCACGCUAUCAGAUGAGCCUAGGUCGGAUUAGCUAGUUGGUGGGGUAAAGACCUACCUAGGCGACGAUCCGUAACUGGUCUGAGUGGAUGAUCAGUCACGCUGGAGCGGAGACAGGGUCCAGACGCCUACGGGAGGCAGCAGUGGGGAAUGUUGGACAAUGGGCGAAAGCCUUAUCCAGUCGGGCCGCGUGUGUGGAGAAGGUCUUCGGAGUGUAAAGCACGUUAACUUGGGAGAAAGGGCAGUAAGUUGAGACCUUGCUGUUUUGACGUUACCAACAGAAUAAGCACCGGCUAACUUCGUG
This 484-nucleotide ribosomal RNA is filed under the name uncultured bacterium. Its description in RNAcentral is "partial 16S ribosomal RNA". It matches the Rfam family "Bacterial small subunit ribosomal RNA", at positions 30 to 507 of the family's 1533-position model. The record is from RNAcentral.